GCCUAACACAUGCAAGUCGAACGAGAACGUGGGGGCAACUCCACUAGUAAAGUGGCAGACGGGUGAGUAACACGUGAACAAUCUACCCUCGAGUGGGGAAUAACACCGCGAAAGCGGUGCUAAUACCGCAUAACAUCUCCGGGUCGCAUGGCCUGGAGAUCAAAAGCGAAAGUUGCUUGAGGAGGAGUUCUGCGCCUGAUUAGCUAGUUGGUGAGGUAACGGCUCACCAAGGCAACGAUCAGUAGCCGGCCUGAGAGGGCGAACGGCCACACUGGAACUGAGACACGGUCCAGACUCCUACGGGAGGCAGCAGUGGGGAAUUUNGCGCAAUGGGCGAAAGCCUGACGCAGCAAACGCCGCGU
RNAcentral lists this ribosomal RNA (362 nucleotides) under uncultured bacterium. RNAcentral describes it as "bacterial SSU rRNA". It matches the Rfam family "Bacterial small subunit ribosomal RNA", at positions 46 to 402 of the family's 1533-position model. The record is from RNAcentral.